This 2547-nucleotide long non-coding RNA is filed under the name Sus scrofa (pig). Its description in RNAcentral is "lncRNA (ENSSSCG00015078985.1)". Lineage: Eukaryota; Metazoa; Chordata; Mammalia; Artiodactyla; Suidae. The record is from RNAcentral.
AGAGUUAAUGUAGGGGAAAAAUCCCUCAAGUUUCUAAAUAAAUUAAUGGAGCAGAAUCAAUCAUCAAAACUUUGCUUUCUCUAUUCCUCUCUCUCCCACCCUGCCCACUCCCCACCCCUCACUCUCACACACACACAGACACACACGAACAUACACACACACAUACACAAAAACAUACACACACAGACACACACAUUCACAUGAACACACACAUAUACACACAUACAGACACACAAAAACCGACACACACAUACACAAAAACAUACACACACAGACACAUACAUACACACACAUUCAUAUACACAGACACAUAUACACACAAAAAUACACACACAAACACAGACACACACAUACACACAAACAUGCACACACAUACACACGUGUACACGUACACACACACACACACACACACACGGCAGAGUUUUUUCUGUUGGCUUCACUACUGUUUCCCCAGAACUUAAAAUCGUGCCUAGCACAUAGUCAGCCCUUAAUAUUUGCUACAUAAAUUGUUAUAGUGAACCGAGAUGGUUCUCUUGUACGAGUUAAAAUGAGAAGCCAACUCGACCCUAAGAUACAUCCUGGUGAAAUUCUUUAACCUGGUGGAAAAAUAAAGACUUCUCUCAAAUUUUAAGUGGAGAAUGCAAAGUCAGAUGACUUCCAAAAUUUUUGAUGAUCAGGACAGCUUUGAACUUCACAUGGCAACGGUCAUUGCCUGAGACGACAGAGUGAAAACUAGAAUCCUUGGGGGAAGAGGCCCCCCCAGGACCCCUGAAGCCAGGAAGACAAUCAAAGGAAAUCUUGGAACUGGAAACUCAAGAAAAUGGCCUCUUUGGCAGAACUCGGAGACUAAAGGACAUCCAAAGAGGAACCUCUUUGUCACUCCAUUGAUGUCCAUGGCACACCUUCUGUGGGCUGCCUACUCCUUCUUCUGGGCCUGGGGUUUAGUGGGAAGAGGCAGCCUGUCAACAAACAUUCGAAGGAACAAUUGAAUCAGCACUGGGAGAGCAGGGUUUGCUCUGCGGCCUUAACUGGGUGGGGCUGGUGGGGCUGGAAGCCUCAGCGCUCCUCACAGAGCAGCUGUGGAGGUUGCAGCCCAGCCCACUGCUGGCAACUGCAGCUCUGGGACACAGUGGGCCCCUUGGCCCUGGGUAGUGGCCAGAAGGACAGUCUUCCCAGACCCUGCAUCCCUCUGCACAGCCGGGGUGGGCUUGGGCGGGACACCUGACUCUGCAGCAUGGAGGGAAGGACACAGGGAGCAGCAGGGGGGAAAGAUGGCCAUGGCCUUCAGAGCCCAACCCAGCAUGUUUGCUGUGAUGAGAAGAGGGCCAGUGCCCUCGGUCACAUCCCCGCGGCUCCCACCCUUGUGAGCUCAACCCUGGAGCCACCUCUAGCCCCCUGCCCUAAGCCAGACCAGAAGGGACCCAGCUCACUCCCACUUCCUCCUAAGCCUCGGCAGCUCACCCGCGUGACAGGAAUGGGGCCACCGGAGUCCAUCUGGAAUGGGGGAGACCCUGAAGCCUAGAACCUCAGCCUCAUGUUCUCUUUCCUUCCACUCCUGGGGCCCGGUUACAUCCACGAACACUGUGUGUGUCCCUUGUCCAUUCUUUCAACUGGAUUUAUUGGGUACCUACUAUGCACUGCAAACUGGCCGGCAGAGCAGUCUCAGAACCUGCGGCUGUGGGACUUUUAUGCCGCAGGGACGACCAGGCAGAGCACUCCUGGGCUCCACUGUUGCCGACUCUCUCAAGCUCCAGAAGAACCACCUUGAACACACACCCAACCAAUGCACAGUAAGAAGGCAGGCAGUACUUUCUGUACCUUGGGAACAAAAAUAAAACCCAGUCACUUAAGUGUCACUCCUACGGCAGCAGUGACUUAAUGACUGAAGUAGAGGAAAAAAUACCGUUGUCUGAACAGAGACAUAUUUAGCGAGUUUUGUGAUACUGACUGACGUUCUUAAUUCCCAUCCCUUUGGGGGAAAAAAAAAAGCGCUUGUGUGCCCCUCCCCCCAAAAGGAUAAAAAUAAAUUACCAGAGCAGACACACAACAGCAGCCUCACUCCCUUCUGUCCCAAGCUCUGUCUGGUGACUGAAUCACCCAGAUGUCCAACUCGGAGAAAUGGAGAGGAGAAAUGGUAAUUUACCCCCUGGGCAGAGGAGCAGCCAGGAUGCAGGUGGGGGCACCGAGGGUGCCAUCUCCCUGCCCCUUGGUCACCCAGGCUAUGCUCUGUCUCUGUCAUCUUUUUUCUUCAUGUCCAUGUCCUUCCAUCGCUCUGCUGCUUGGGCUCUGUUUCCUGGCCUCUGCUGACUUCUGCCUGAUGACCUGUAUCUCCCAGAACAGAAAAGCUUGGAAGUCAUCGUAGCUCAGCAGUCACAAGCCCGGCUAGUACCUAUGAGGAUUCAGCUUCGAUCCCUGGCAUCGCUCAGUAGGUUAAGGAUCUGGUGUUGCCGUGAGCUGGGGUGUAGGUUGAAAAGGUAUCCCGUGUUGCUGUGGCUGUGAUGUAGGCCAGCAGCUAACGCUCCAAUUGGACCCCUAGCCUGGGAACUU